UAGGGAAUCUUCCGCAAUGGACGCAAGUCUGACGGAGCAACGCCGCGUGAGUGAAGAAGGAUUUCGGUUCGUAAAACUCUGUUGUUAGAGAAGAACAGCGCAUAGAGUAACUGUUAUGCGUGUGACGGUAUCUAACCAGAAAGCCACGGCUAACUACGUGCCAGCAGCCGCGGUAAUACGUAGGUGGCAAGCGUUGUCCGGAUUUACUGGGCGUAAAGCGAGCGCAGGCGGUCAAUUAAGUUUGAUGUGAAAGCCCCCGGCUCAACCGGGGAGGGACAUUGAAAACUGGUUGACUUGAGUGCAGAAGUGGGGAGGGGAUUUCCUAGGGAAGCGGUGAAAUGCGUAGAUAAGUGGGGAAACACCAGUGGCGAUGGCGACUCUCUGGUCUGUAACUGACGCUGAGGUUCAAAAGCGUGGGUAGCAAACGGG
Molecule: ribosomal RNA, 429 nt
Filed under: Bacteroidota bacterium
Lineage: Bacteria; Pseudomonadati; Bacteroidota
Description: Bacteroidetes bacterium partial 16S ribosomal RNA
Rfam family: Bacterial small subunit ribosomal RNA
Source: RNAcentral